GUACGGCGGAACACGAGAAAUUCCGUCGGAAUCCGCGGGGACCAUCCCGCAAGGCUAAAUACUCCCUAGUGACCGAUAGUGAACCAGUACCGUGAGGGAAAGGUGAAAAGCACCCCGGAAGGGGAGUGAAAUAGAUCCUGAAACCGUGUGCCUACAACAAGUCAAAGCUCGUUAAUGAGUGAUGGCGUGCCUUUUGUAGAAUGAACCGGCGAGUUACGAUUGCAUGCGAGGUUAAGUCGAAGAGACGGAGCCGCAGCGAAA
Molecule: ribosomal RNA, 261 nt
Filed under: Enterococcus faecalis
Lineage: Bacteria; Bacillati; Bacillota; Bacilli; Lactobacillales; Enterococcaceae
Description: partial 23S ribosomal RNA
Rfam family: Bacterial large subunit ribosomal RNA
Source: RNAcentral